UACACUCCUACGGGAGGCAGCAGUGGGGAAUUUUGGACAAUGGGCGAAAGCCUGAUCCAGCAAUGCCGCGUGAGUGAAGAAGGCCUUCGGGUUGUAAAGCUCUUUUGUCAGGGAAGAAACGGUGAAAGCUAAUAUCUUUUGCUAAUGACGGUACCUGAAGAAUAAGCACCGGCUAACUACGUGCCAGCAGCCGCGGUAAUACGUAGGGUGCAAGCGUUAAUCGGAAUUACUGGGCGUAAAGCGUGCGCAGGCGGUUUUGUAAGUCUGAUGUGAAAUCCCCGGGCUCAACCUGGGAAUUGCAUUGGAGACUGCAAGGCUAGAAUCUGGCAGAGGGGGGUAGAAUUCCACGUGUAGCAGUGAAAUGCGUAGAUAUGUGGAGGAACACCGAUGGCGAAGGCAGCCCCCUGGGUCAAGAUUGACGCUCAUGCACGAAAGCGUGGGGAGCAAACAGGAUUAGAAACCCUUGUAGUCCCAUGAU
This 478-nucleotide ribosomal RNA is filed under the name uncultured organism. RNAcentral's name for it is "partial 16S ribosomal RNA". It matches the Rfam family "Bacterial small subunit ribosomal RNA", at positions 332 to 801 of the family's 1533-position model. The record is from RNAcentral.